UGUAAGCGUAUACCAAAGUUGUUGCAGUUAAAACGCUCGUAGUCGGAAUUUGGCAGUUCCGGAAGUGUGCACGUCGUGUGCGCACUUUGCGGGGACUGCUUUUGUGGUCUUGCGUAGGAUGAGGCACUUUCAUUAGUUAACGUCCUCACGCAACCACUCUUUACUGUGAGAAAAUCAGAGUGCUCAAAGCAGGCAUUUGCCGUGAAUGUAUUAGCAUGGAAUAAUAGAAUAGGACUCGGUUCUAUUUUGUUGGUUUGUUGGGACUGAGUAAUGAUUAAGAGGGACAGUUGGGGGCAUUUGUAUUCCGGCGCUAGAGGUGAAAUUCUUAGAUUGCCGGAAGACAAACUGCUGCGAAAGCGUCUGCCAAGGAUGUUUUCAUUGA
This 382-nucleotide ribosomal RNA is filed under the name uncultured eukaryote. RNAcentral describes it as "partial 18S ribosomal RNA". It matches the Rfam family "Eukaryotic small subunit ribosomal RNA", at positions 592 to 976 of the family's 1831-position model. The record is from RNAcentral.